This is a long non-coding RNA of Acromyrmex echinatior (Panamanian leafcutter ant), 714 nucleotides long. RefSeq lists it as uncharacterized. The record is from RefSeq and is a predicted model, not a curated record. NCBI's taxonomy places the organism in Eukaryota, Metazoa, Arthropoda, Insecta, Hymenoptera, Formicidae.
CAGGGGGCGGGCGUAUAACCUGUCAUUUUAACGUUGAAAUAUUCGCAACCCUGUCUCCAAAUAGAUAGACUUUUUCUCCAUAUUUUAAUCUCUGCUGAUAAAACGACGAGAAAUGGCACAAAGGAUCGUUCAUCGUUGGAUUUCUUUACUAAGAAUGCGGCGAAUACGAGAUGAUCGGCUCUAAAUGAAUGGCGUCGCGAUUUAUUAAAUUGCUGUCACAAAGCAAACAAUGGGAAGAGAACAGAGGUGAAAAGCAGGCUUGACAAUUUUGUGAGGAGGAGGAGAAGAAGGCUCAGGAAAAGCAAUGAAGCAACUUUUACGAAAAUGUAACGUAACUGAUAACUCCACUGCUGUGCAUCAGUCGGUCUUCCCUCUUCUUUUAUUGAUAUGCGCAGUCAUCUCAGCCGCGAUCAGGCCAUUAACCGGUUAGUGAAGAUGUAUGAUGAAAAUAUAAUAGAGAACUUUCCACGGCUCUAUACUGAGAGGUCGGAGCAUCGGUCGGUGAGUGACAAAGAUUUUAUCAGGUAACGAACCUGUGAAAAAUGUACAGGUUUAUCAUUAUAUUAGAAAUGAAUAUAACGCUUUAUAGAUUCAUUACUUUAAAAUGGAUUAGCUACAAACAAUUAUGAUACAUAUUUAAUCUUGGAUUUAUCUAUUAUUUGUCAACUUGAGCGUUUUGGUGUGCUAUUGUGCUUGAGGCUAUUAUGUUUAUAC